UAGUAUUUAAUAUUUUCUUUUUUAUUCUCUUUCAUCUUAAUGAUAGCUGUGAUUGGGUGGUCAUAUUCUUUCCCACACAAAUUCAUAUUUAAGGAAAUAUCGAUGUUCUUUCAAUCACCUGGGAAUUGAAUCUCGUCCUGAAAGAUCCACUAUUUUCUAAUAUUUAGAGAUUUCCUCCAUAUUUGAAUAACUGACAUAAAAAUAAAAGUGAUGUUACCUUUAUGCAUAUUUCAGGUUUGUAAUACCAAUAGAGUUGAGAGAAACUUUAGAAGCCUUUCGGGACAGGAACAUUACAGGGGGAGUCAGCAAAAGGAACCAAGAAGUUGGCUGAUGAAGGAGGAAAACAGGUUUUGUGUGGUGUCACAGAA
This is a long non-coding RNA of Phyllostomus discolor (pale spear-nosed bat), 368 nucleotides long. RefSeq lists it as uncharacterized. The transcript has 2 exons. The record is from RefSeq and is a predicted model, not a curated record. Lineage: Eukaryota; Metazoa; Chordata; Mammalia; Chiroptera; Phyllostomidae.